RNAcentral lists this ribosomal RNA (460 nucleotides) under uncultured bacterium. Its description in RNAcentral is "partial 16S ribosomal RNA". It matches the Rfam family "Bacterial small subunit ribosomal RNA", at positions 338 to 795 of the family's 1533-position model. The record is from RNAcentral.
CCUACGGGAGGCAGCAGUGAGGAAUAUUGGUCAAUGGCCGGAAGGCUGAACCAGCCAUGCCGCGUGAAGGUCAGUGCCCUAUGGGCGUUAAACUUCUUUUGUGCGGGAGCAAUAAUGGUCACGUGUGGCCAGACGAGAGUACCGUACGAAUAAGCAUCGGCUAACUCCGUGCCAGCAGCCGCGGUAAUACGGGGGAUGCAAGCGUUAUCCGGAUUUAUUGGGUUUAAAGGGUGCGUAGGCUGUGAGGUAAGUCAGCGGUGAAAUGCCCCCGCUCAACGGGGUGAAGUGCCAUUGAUACUGCCAUGCUGGAAUGCGGAUGCCGUGGGAGGAAGGUGUGGUGUAGCGGUGAAAUGCAUAGAUAUCACACAGAACACCAAUUGCGAAGGCAUCUCACGAAUCCGCGAUUGACGCUGAUGCACGAAAGCGUAGGUAUCAAACAGGAUUAGAUACCCUUGUAGUC